This 484-nucleotide long non-coding RNA is filed under the name Elaeis guineensis (African oil palm). RNAcentral's name for it is "long non-coding RNA (EGUI_LNC047322)". The record is from RNAcentral. Lineage: Eukaryota; Viridiplantae; Streptophyta; Magnoliopsida; Arecales; Arecaceae.
GAAAUCUAAUAGAUCACACACUUUAGGAUUUUAUCUUGAUCUAAUUUAAUUAGGAUUUAAUAUAAAUCCUAGGGGUUAAUUUGAUUUUCUAGCAUAUUGUGUUAACUCAAGUUCCUAAUUAGGUUAAGUUCAAAGUAUUUGAGCUAAACUGAACCUGUUGCCUUUGACCUGAUUGGAUUAGGUCUAUAUUAAUUGGACUCCUACUUAACUUGGAAGAGUUUCAAGUGUGGAAAGACUCCUCCAUGCCACUCUAGUUUCAUGCCAAAAAUAAAUGCCGCCACCCUCUCUUUUAUGCAUUAAGAAGAGGAAGAGUCCUUCUUUCUUAAGACUCUUAACUACCUCUUAGUUUUCCAUUGAUUCCUUUAAUGUCACAUGCCAAAAUUUAUUAAGAGAAUUAUGAAGCACAGAAGAGAAAGAGUCCUUCUAUGUGUAGCCUCUUCUAUGCCACUUAAUUCAUUGGAGAAAUUAAUUCUCCAUGUGAGAG